This is a small nucleolar RNA of Myripristis murdjan (pinecone soldierfish), 217 nucleotides long. Ensembl annotates it as small nucleolar RNA U3. NCBI's taxonomy places the organism in Eukaryota, Metazoa, Chordata, Actinopteri, Holocentriformes, Holocentridae. The record is from Ensembl.
AAGACUAUACUUUCAGGGAUCAUUUCUAUAGUUUCUGACUAGAGAAAUGUGUUUCUAAAGUGUUUGGUCUCGCUAGCCACGAUGAUGAGUUGUGAUGUUUCCUUCCGAGAGAGAAGCUGGCAGUGAAUAAUGACUCUGUUCAUAUGUUCACUGUCAUUGAUGACUGAUCUUUGCUUCCUUGUUAAGCAAAGAGGAAGACAACAUGGUCAGAGUGGUU